RNAcentral lists this unclassified non-coding RNA (263 nucleotides) under uncultured Xylariales. RNAcentral's name for it is "sequence contains 5.8S rRNA gene, ITS2, 28S rRNA gene". The stretch from base 1 to 52 matches the Rfam family "5.8S ribosomal RNA", at positions 103 to 154 of the family's 154-position model. The record is from RNAcentral. Lineage: Eukaryota; Fungi; Ascomycota; Sordariomycetes; Xylariales.
AACGCACAUUGCGCCCACCAGUAUUCUGGUGGGCAUGCCUGUUCGAGCGUCAUUACGACCCUUAAGCCCUAGUUGCUUAGCGUUGGGGGCUCGCCGUAACUGGCGACCCCUUAAAGACAUUGGCGGAGUCGGUUUGGAACUCUGAGCGUAGUAGAUCUCUUCUCGCUCCUGAAGCCCUCGCGACCCUAGCCGUUAAACCAGUAUGACCUAGUCAUCUUAUAGUGGUUGACCUCGGAUCAGGUAGGAAUACCCGCUGAACUUAA